Molecule: long non-coding RNA, 313 nt
Filed under: Numida meleagris (helmeted guineafowl)
Lineage: Eukaryota; Metazoa; Chordata; Aves; Galliformes; Numididae
Description: lncRNA (ENSNMEG00000011132.1)
Source: RNAcentral
AAAUGGUCUUCCUCCAUGAAUACUUUUGAAAUGCUAUAUUAUAUUGAAAUUUUUAUAGAAACAGAGCAGUUAUCUGUGUGAUAAAGCAGUUUCAAAUGUCCAGUGUCAUUGGCACGAAAAAAAAAACAACCAUCUGCAAAUGGUCUGAAAUCAGCUUGUAAGGAAGUUGGCCCAGAAUGGCUGGUCUUGCAGAUCAUAUCAUCCAUCACAGUGGAAGCAAAUGUGGUGAGAAUGCUGAAGAGGAGGUUUCUGGUGUCACACUGCUGUGCUGCACUCUUCUAAAUGUCUGCUUUGGAAACAAGAACAAUGUUGG